GACGAACGCUGGCGGCGUGCUUAACACAUGCAAGUCGAACGGAAAGGCCCUGCUUUUGUGGGGUGCUCGAGUGGCGAACGGGUGAGUAACACGUGAGUAACCUGCCCUUGACUUUGGGAUAACUUCAGGAAACUGGGGCUAAUACCGGAUAGGAGCUCCUGCUGCAUGGUGGGGGUUGGAAAGUUUCGGCGGUUGGGGAUGGACUCGCGGCUUAUCAGCUUGUUGGUGGGGUAGUGGCUUACCAAGGCUUUGACGGGUAGCCCGCCUGAGAGGGUGACCGGGCACCAUGGGACUGAGAUACGGCCCAGACUCCUACGGGAGGCAGCAGUGGGGAAUAUUGCACAAUGGGCGGAAGCCUGAUGCAGCAACGCCGCGUGCGGGAUGACGGCCUUCGGGUUGUAAACCGCUUUCGCCUGUGACGAAGCGUGAGUGACGGUAAUGGGUAAAGAAGCACCGGCUAACUACGUG
RNAcentral lists this ribosomal RNA (468 nucleotides) under uncultured bacterium. Its description in RNAcentral is "partial 16S ribosomal RNA". It matches the Rfam family "Bacterial small subunit ribosomal RNA", at positions 28 to 507 of the family's 1533-position model. The record is from RNAcentral.